ACAAGUCGAGCGGAUGACGGGAGCUUGCUCCUUGAUUCAGCGGCGGACGGGUGAGUAAUGCCUAGGAAUCUGCCUGGUAGUGGGGGACAACGUUUCGAAAGGAACGCUAAUACCGCAUACGUCCUACGGGAGAAAGCAGGGGACCUUCGGGCCUUGCGCUAUCAGAUGAGCCUAGGUCGGAUUAGCUAGUUGGUGGGGUAAUGGCUCACCAAGGCGACGAUCCGUAACUGGUCUGAGAGGAUGAUCAGUCACACUGGAACUGAGACACGGUCCAGACUCCUACGGGAGGCAGCAGUGGGGAAUAUUGGACAAUGGGCGAAAGCCUGAUCCAGCCAUGCCGCGUGUGUGAAGAAGGUCUUCGGAUUGUAAAGCACUUUAAGUUGGGAGGAAGGGCAGUAAGCUAAUACCUUGCUGUUUUGACGUUACCGACAGAAUAAGCACCGGCUAACUCUGUGCCAGCAGCCGCGGUAAUACAGAGGGUGCAAGCGUUAAUCGGAAUUACUGGGCGUAAAGCGCGCGUAGGUGGUUUGUUAAGUUGGAUGUGAAAGCCCCGGGCUCAACCUGGGAACUGCAUCCAAAACUGGCAAGCUAGAGUACGGUAGAGGGUGGUGGAAUUUCCUGUGUAGCGGUGAAAUGCGUAGAUAUAGGAA
Molecule: ribosomal RNA, 650 nt
Filed under: Pseudomonas putida
Lineage: Bacteria; Pseudomonadati; Pseudomonadota; Gammaproteobacteria; Pseudomonadales; Pseudomonadaceae
Description: bacterial SSU rRNA
Rfam family: Bacterial small subunit ribosomal RNA
Source: RNAcentral